CUACGGGAGGCAGCAGUGGGGAAUAUUGGACAAUGGGCGCAAGCCUGAUCCAGCCAUGCCGCGUGAGUGAUGAAGGCCUUAGGGUUGUAAAGCUCUUUUGUCCGGGAAGAUAAUGACUGUACCGGAAUAAUAAGCCCCGGCUAACUUCGUGCCAGCAGCCGCGGUAAUACGAAGGGGGCUAGCGUUGCUCGGAAUCACUGGGCGUAAAAGGCGCGUAGGCGGACUUUUAAGUCGGAGGUGAAAGCCCAGGGCUCAACCCUGGAAUUGCCUUCGAUACUGGGAGUCUUGAGUUCGGAAGAGGUUGGUGGAACUGCGAGUGUAGAGGUGAAAUUCGUAGAUAUUCGCAAGAACACCGGUGGCGAAGGCGGCCAACUGGUCCGAAACUGACGCUGAGGCGCGAAAGCGUGGGGAGCAAACAGGAUUAGAUACCCUUGUAGUCC
This 440-nucleotide ribosomal RNA is filed under the name uncultured bacterium. RNAcentral describes it as "bacterial SSU rRNA". It matches the Rfam family "Bacterial small subunit ribosomal RNA", at positions 339 to 796 of the family's 1533-position model. The record is from RNAcentral.